AUAUUAUAUUUGUGCAAUGUGUAUGUAAUAACCUGGUCAGAUUAGGAAUAAAGCAGCCAUAUUUACCUCUACACAUGUGCACUUUUUUUAUUUGAA
RNAcentral lists this signal recognition particle RNA (96 nucleotides) under Bacilli bacterium. RNAcentral describes it as "signal recognition particle sRNA small type". The stretch from base 8 to 88 matches the Rfam family "Bacterial small signal recognition particle RNA". Rfam says of the family: The signal recognition particle (SRP) is a universally conserved ribonucleoprotein involved in the co-translational targeting of proteins to membranes. Archaeal SRP consists of a 7S RNA and homologues of the eukaryotic SRP19 and SRP54 proteins. The record is from RNAcentral. RNAcentral also lists the same sequence under 1 other name. Lineage: Bacteria; Bacillati; Bacillota; Bacilli.